CCUACGGGGGGCAGCAGUGGGGAAUAUUGGACAAUGGGGGGAACCCUGAUCCAGCCAUGCCGCGUGUGUGAAGAAGGCCCUCGGGUUGUAAAGCACUUUCAGUGAGGAAGAACGCCUGGUGGUUAAUACCCAUCAGGAAAGACAUCACUCACAGAAGAAGCACCGGCUAACUCCGUGCCAGCAGCCGCGGUAAUACGGAGGGUGCGAGCGUUAAUCGGAAUUACUGGGCGUAAAGCGCGCGUAGGUGGCUUGAUAAGCCGGUUGUGAAAGCCCCGGGCUCAACCUGGGAACGGCAUCCGGAACUGUCAAGCUAGAGUGCAGGAGAGGAAGGUAGAAUUCCCGGUGUAGCGGUGAAAUGCGUAGAGAUCGGGAGGAAUACCAGUGGCGAAGGCGGCCUUCUGGACUGACACUGACACUGAGGUGCGAAAGCGUGGGUAGCAAACAGGAUUAGAUACCCCGCUAGUC
This 465-nucleotide ribosomal RNA is filed under the name Vreelandella stevensii. RNAcentral's name for it is "partial 16S ribosomal RNA". It matches the Rfam family "Bacterial small subunit ribosomal RNA", at positions 338 to 795 of the family's 1533-position model. Lineage: Bacteria; Pseudomonadati; Pseudomonadota; Gammaproteobacteria; Oceanospirillales; Halomonadaceae. The record is from RNAcentral.